This 300-nucleotide ribosomal RNA is filed under the name Triticum aestivum (bread wheat). RNAcentral describes it as "partial small subunit ribosomal RNA". Lineage: Eukaryota; Viridiplantae; Streptophyta; Magnoliopsida; Poales; Poaceae. The record is from RNAcentral.
AUGCUGCAAGCUCUAAAGCUGCCCCCUGCAACUUACCAGCACAAAAUAUACCCAGGCGGAAAGAAUCGUGUGACAGUGACUUUCAUUUCUACUUUGGAAUUGCUAGAUGGUUCACUUGUCCCGAGUUCUAUACCAGGUGCAAUCUUAGAUAGCUAUGAAGAUGCAGAAGACAGUGCUGCUAUGGAGGCUAUUAGAUUCAUGGAGAAUGCAUAUGGCAAAGAAAUGAGGGGCUACCACUACACCCAUGUCAAGAGGCUAGAAAAUCAAGUGACGCACCUGGUGGUUGACUUCAUCCAAUGA